ACUAAAACGUUUGUUAAAAUUAUCAUUGUAAUAAACACAAAGCUUAAAAUAUUGUUCACUUUGUAUUUAAAUUGUUUUGAUGACGAUGGUGCAACUUCUUUUCUAGAGAUGCCAUGCUGGUUGGCAAAAUCAUGAUGAUGAUGAAACAGGACCAAGGUAGCCGAUGAAAACUUCUUUCUGGACCAACUAUUUUUUUUUCAAGAUUAUAUUACAAAAAUUAGUUGAUUAAAAAUGAGUUUAUA
Long non-coding RNA from Cimex lectularius (bed bug), 242 nucleotides. RefSeq lists it as uncharacterized. NCBI's taxonomy places the organism in Eukaryota, Metazoa, Arthropoda, Insecta, Hemiptera, Cimicidae. The transcript is spliced from 3 exons. The record is from RefSeq and is a predicted model, not a curated record.